Molecule: ribosomal RNA, 592 nt
Filed under: Snodgrassella alvi
Lineage: Bacteria; Pseudomonadati; Pseudomonadota; Betaproteobacteria; Neisseriales; Neisseriaceae
Description: bacterial SSU rRNA
Rfam family: Bacterial small subunit ribosomal RNA
Source: RNAcentral
AGAUUAAACAUAAGAGUUUGAUCCUGGCUCAGAUUGAACGCUGGCGGCAUGCUUUACACAUGCAAGUCGAACGGCAGCACGGAGAGCUUGCUCUCUGGUGGCGAGUGGCGAACGGGUGAGUAAUGCAUCGGAACGUACCGAGUAAUGGGGGAUAACUGUCCGAAAGGAUGGCUAAUACCGCAUACGCCCUGAGGGGGAAAGCGGGGGAUCUUAGGACCUCGCGUUAUUUGAGCGGCCGAUGUUGGAUUAGCUAGUUGGUGGGGUAAAGGCCUACCAAGGCGACGAUCCAUAGCGGGUCUGAGAGGAUGAUCCGCCACAUUGGGACUGAGACACGGCCCAAACUCCUACGGGAGGCAGCAGUGGGGAAUUUUGGACAAUGGGGGGAACCCUGAUCCAGCCAUGCCGCGUGUCUGAAGAAGGCCUUCGGGUUGUAAAGGACUUUUGUUAGGGAAGAAAAGCUGGGUGUUAAUACCAUCUAGUGCUGACGGUACCUAAAGAAUAAGCACCGGCUAACUACGUGCCAGCAGCCGCGGUAAUACGUAGGGUGCGAGCGUUAAUCGGAAUUACUGGGCGUAAAGCGAGCGCAGACGGU